UACAGAGGGUGCAAGCGUUGUUCGGAAUUAUUGGGGGUAAAGCGCGUGUAGGCGGCUUUGCAAGUCGGGUGUGAAAGCCCUCAGCUCAACUGAGGAAGUGCGCCCGAAACUGCAGAGCUUGAGUGCGGGAGAGGGUGGCGGAAUUCCCCAAGUAGAGGUGAAAUUCGUAGAUAUGGGGAGGAACACCGGUGGCGAAGGCGGCCACCUGGACGGUAACUGACGCUGAGACGCGAAAGCGUGGGGAGCAAACAGG
RNAcentral lists this ribosomal RNA (253 nucleotides) under uncultured bacterium. RNAcentral describes it as "partial 16S ribosomal RNA". It matches the Rfam family "Bacterial small subunit ribosomal RNA", at positions 524 to 776 of the family's 1533-position model. The record is from RNAcentral.